Molecule: long non-coding RNA, 347 nt
Organism: Helianthus annuus (common sunflower)
Lineage: Eukaryota; Viridiplantae; Streptophyta; Magnoliopsida; Asterales; Asteraceae
Exons: 3
Source: RefSeq, a predicted model, not a curated record
GAUCCUGUACAAACAGCACAUAGUGUGAGAACCAUAAGAACAGAUCUGAACCAUCCAAUUUUUAGAUCAACGGUUGAUGUUGAUUACAAUUAAAACCCUUUCAAUUACUAAACAUUAUUAUAAGACCAAGGGUACUAGGUUUUGGUUGAAUCAAUGAUGGAUGAAACAAAAGAGAACCCUUUCAUCAACAGAAAAGAAGAUCACAAAGAUGUUUCGAAUAAAGAGGAUAUUGUUAAUGAUGUUGUAUCGUACAAAACAAAAAAGAGGACUUAAGAAAGGAAGCUUAUGACAGCUAAAAGAGGUGUGCUAACAUUGUAUUUAUAUGGAUUUUUAAAGUGUUAAACACU